UCCUUUUGCUUAUUGUGCAUAUAAUCUUGUUUUGUUGUGGAAGUUAGAACUUAGGAAAAGAAGAGAUUAAACUUCAUUCUCAUUGAUUGUUUUGUAUAUAGAACUUUUUUAUUGCUUGGUUUGUCACGCAUUUAUGAGAAAUGCUAGCAGGACUUCAAUGUUAAUUUGCAUGGGACCCUCUUAAUGAAUUAGAUAUCUACUUGUCAAGCUCUAGUAAAUAUGUAUAUGGUACGAAGCAGGAACUUGACAACUAUAUAAGCAAAAUAUCUUCUAGUUAGGUGGCAAGUAUAGACCUCGCAAGAGCAGCCCUCAAGCCUGAC
RNAcentral lists this long non-coding RNA (320 nucleotides) under Elaeis guineensis (African oil palm). RNAcentral's name for it is "long non-coding RNA (EGUI_LNC014001)". The record is from RNAcentral. Lineage: Eukaryota; Viridiplantae; Streptophyta; Magnoliopsida; Arecales; Arecaceae.